AGACAGCAGUCGCCGCGGUAAUACGUAGGUGGCAAGCGUUAUCCGGAAUUAUUGGGCGUAAAGCGCGCGUAGGCGGUUUCUUAAGUCUGAUGUGAAAGCCCACGGCUCAACCGUGGAGGGUCAUUGGAAACUGGGAAACUUGAGUGCAGAAGAGGAAAGUGGAAUUCCAUGUGUAGCGGUGAAAUGCGCAGAGAUAUGGAGGAACACCAGUGGCGAAGGCGACUUUCUGGUCUGUAACUGACGCUGAUGUGCGAAAGCGUGGGGAUCAAACAGGAUUAGAUACCCCAGUAGUCCCUGUCUCUUAUAC
RNAcentral lists this ribosomal RNA (307 nucleotides) under uncultured bacterium. Its description in RNAcentral is "partial 16S ribosomal RNA". It matches the Rfam family "Bacterial small subunit ribosomal RNA", at positions 506 to 807 of the family's 1533-position model. The record is from RNAcentral.